UCCACAUUGGUCUUUGUGGAGGACUUGUGGACUUGGAAUCAGUGUUAAUGUUCUGCACAGUCCACUUCAUAACAGUUAUUGACCUUUGACCUGACCAGUGGAGGUUGAUGGACAAUAAUUGUCCAGAUAGAAGUGGAGUUGCUGGUUCAUCACAGUAUUUCAGACAAUUGGAUCAGAAGAAAAGCUUUGCUGUUGCAGCUUGAAUCCAGACUCAGAGACGCUGUGAGGAUCGUUUCUGCCAGGAGCCUUUAGAGUCACAUAAAGACUGACCUGUUUAUCAAGAGUUGAUUGACACACACCACAUACACACACCACAAACACACAUAUAGAAACAAAAACGCACAAAACUUGAACUGCAAAAAGUUUUGUAAUUUCCUGUUAAGUAAAACAGAGACUCUAUCAAGUUUCCAAGGUUUCUGAUUACAGGGAGGAGACUAACUCAAACGCACACCUAAAGGGCGGAGCUCUGCUCAGGUGUUCCUGAAUCAGGAAAUGAGGAAAAGUUUCUCUCCGUGUCAGAGCAGACAGAGCAGGACUUUCUUCUUCUUCUUCACGGUGAAGGUGGAAGGUGUGUGUGAGCUGAUGUGGAUCCAGUGAAUCCAGCAGCAUGGAUCAGUGGGAGGACACACAGGAGGGAGCCCCUCCCUCUAAAAAGAGGAGACAUGGUAACCAUGACAACCAGAGCAAAGCUCAGGGGAACCAACCUGGACCUGGAUCUGGAUCCAGCUGGGGGUCCAACAGAAGUGACAGAUCAAAGGGUGUACCUUAUAACUUCAAAGACAUCCAUUCAGGAGUGGAACAGUAAGUGUUUGUCAGAGUUUUUGGAGGCUGGAUUCUAGUUCAGAUGAUCAACAGUUUUCAGAUGAAGGACUUGAGGUCUGGUUCAGUUCUGGAUCUCUCUGAUCAGACUCACUUGGAGCAUCAUGUGUGUGAUGAGAUCUUUUCAGUUGAGUCUUCUGAGAGUCUCUGAGAGACAUCAGAGAUGUUGGAGAAGAAAACAUGUUGACUGCUGACUCUGACUGACAGCAGCUCCAGUCUAAUGAGAAGAAUCACUGCAGACUCCUAGGAUUCAGAUUUUCAUGCUUUCCAAACAUCACAUUGUUCUAGUUUGACUUUCUGCUACAGAAUUUCUACAUUUCUACAUGGAGAAUUGGAAUCAGCUUUUCUAGAAAAAAGUCUGGAUUGACUGACAGAAAAUGCUGAAACAUUUUCCCUCCAACUGGAAACUGUUGAUCCAAACAUGUCAUGGUAUUUCGUCAU
RNAcentral lists this long non-coding RNA (1260 nucleotides) under Oryzias sinensis (Chinese medaka). RNAcentral describes it as "lncRNA (ENSOSIG00000003638.1)". Lineage: Eukaryota; Metazoa; Chordata; Actinopteri; Beloniformes; Adrianichthyidae. The record is from RNAcentral.